Molecule: ribosomal RNA, 1002 nt
Filed under: Triticum aestivum (bread wheat)
Lineage: Eukaryota; Viridiplantae; Streptophyta; Magnoliopsida; Poales; Poaceae
Description: partial small subunit ribosomal RNA
Source: RNAcentral
AUGCUGUCGCUCCACAUGGCGUUGCUCCUCGGAGUGGUCUUCGCCUCCAUCCUUACAAGAGCGGCCUCGGUGGGCGUGUGCUACGGCAUGAGCGCCAACAACCUGCCGCCCCCGAGCACCGUCGUCGGCAUGCUCCGGGACAACGGCUUCAACUCGGUGCGCCUCUACGCGCCGGACAGAGACGCGCUGGCGGCACUCGCAGGCACCGGCAUCGGCGUCAUCGUCGGUGCGCCCAACUACGUGCUCCCCGAGCUGGCCGCCAGCGGGUCCGCGGCGGCGGCGUGGGUCCGCGCCAACAUCGCGGCCCACCCGGACGUCUCCUUCCGGUACCUCACAGUGGGCAACGAGGUCGCCGGCAGCGACACGCAGUACCUCGUCCCGGCCAUGGAGAACGUGCACGGCGCGCUGGCCGCGGCCGGGCUGGGCGACGCCGUAAAGGUCACGACGGCGAUAUCGCAGGCCACCAUCGCCGUCCACGUGCCGCCGUCGGCUGGCGAGUUCGCCGACGAGUCCAAGCCGUUCCUGCUCCCCGUGCUGCAGUUCCUGGAGCGCACCGGCGCGCCGCUCCUGGCCAACCUGUACCCGUACUUCGUGUACACGUACAAGGCCGCGGGCGACAUGGACGUCGGCUUCAUGCUGUUCACGGCGCCGGGGACGGUGGUGCAGGACGGCGAGUACGGGUACCAGAACAUGUUCGACGCGAGCGUGGACGCGGUGCACGCGGCGGUGGAGCGGCUCGGGGUGAGCGGCGUGGACGUCGUGGUGUCGGAGACCGGGUGGCCGUCGGCGGGCGGCGAGGAGGCGUCGGUGGAGAACGCGAGGACGUACAACCAAAACCUGGUGGGCCACGUGGGGAAGGGCACGCCGCGGCGGCCGUGGAAGGUGGAGACGUACGUGUUCUCCUUGUUCAACGAGAACCUCAAGGAGGCCGGCGUGGAGCAGAACUGGGGUCUCUUCUACCCGAGCACCGAUAAGGUCUACCCCAUCACCUUUGGCAAGUGA